UGGGGAAUAUUGCACAAUGGAGGGAACUCUGAUGCAGCGACGCCGCGUGAACGAAGAAGGCUUUCGAGUCGUAAAGUUCUUUUAUAUGGGAAGAUAAUGACGGUACCAUAAGAAAAAGCCCCGGCUAACUACGUGCCAGCAGCCGCGGUAAUACGUAGGGGGCUAGCGUUGUCCGGAAUCACUGGGCGUAAAGGGUUCGCAGGCGGAAAUGCAAGUCAGGUGUAAAAGGCAGUAGCUUAACUACUGUAAGCAUUUGAAACUGCAUAUCUUGAGAAGAGUAGAGGUAAGUGGAAUUUUUAGUGUCGCGGUGAAAUGCGUAGAUAUUAAAAAGAAUACCGGUGGCGAAGGCGACUUACUGGGCUCAUUCUGACGCUGAGGAACGAAAGCGUGGGUAGCAAACAGG
This 403-nucleotide ribosomal RNA is filed under the name Verrucomicrobiota bacterium. Its description in RNAcentral is "Verrucomicrobia bacterium partial 16S ribosomal RNA". It matches the Rfam family "Bacterial small subunit ribosomal RNA", at positions 355 to 776 of the family's 1533-position model. The record is from RNAcentral. Lineage: Bacteria; Pseudomonadati; Verrucomicrobiota.